Paramormyrops kingsleyae is the source of this 72-nucleotide small nucleolar RNA. Its record names the gene SNORD24. It matches the Rfam family "Small nucleolar RNA SNORD24". From Rfam's summary of the family: U24 is a member of the C/D class of snoRNA which contain the C (UGAUGA) and D (CUGA) box motifs. C/D box snoRNAs have been shown to act as methylation guides for a number of RNA targets. Lineage: Eukaryota; Metazoa; Chordata; Actinopteri; Osteoglossiformes; Mormyridae. The record is from Ensembl.
UGCAGAUGAUGUAAAGAAUAUUUGCUAUCUUAUCUGUUGUGCUGACAACCAAUCACCAAGAUCGCUGAUGCA